Molecule: long non-coding RNA, 1823 nt
Organism: Hippocampus zosterae (dwarf seahorse)
Lineage: Eukaryota; Metazoa; Chordata; Actinopteri; Syngnathiformes; Syngnathidae
Exons: 2
Source: RefSeq, a predicted model, not a curated record
AGGGAGGGGGAACCUCAUUCCGAUCUCGAGGGACAGGAGCAAAAGACCACAAACAUCUGCGACGGACCUUCUCCAACCGGAAACAAGAGCUGGAUUGAAUUCACUUUUGGGGCUUUGACUGUUUUCUGGAGCAUAUCGGAUAAGUCAAACAGUCGCAUUUGCAGCACACGAUGAUGAAGCAAGACCCACACAGUCUGGUGGACCGUCUGAGGAGAUGUUGCGAGAGAAUGAAUGGCUGAUGAUGAAUAAUUCAAGAGCUUUUGAAACAAAGCCAAAUUUGAAAAGUCUAACUCCGGUCGGGUGUGUCUCCCCAUUCCCUUUCUGCCAUAUUACAGAGUGUCUUGGCAAGUAGUUGACUGUCGGUGGAAGUGCGGGAAGGAACAAACAGACGAGGUGGUCGGGAAUGUUGGAAAUUGGUUAGAUGAAGGCGAAUGGAGAAUCUUUAGAUGCCUCUGCUGUCUUUACAUCUUAUACCGAAGAGGGGAGAAAUCGAGCCACGAGUAUUCUCUCCGCCAUCCCCUUUUGGUCUCACUGCUGUCAUUUUUUUUUCCUAGGUUCACCGAUUCCCUUGCCACCGGUGCCAACACCGUAAACAAAGCAUCUAAAACCUCUUGUUAAAAAUUGCGUAAACGGACCCCUGACCGGUUGCUAGCAGCAACAGCAGCGGAGCCCAGUGACAGUGUACAGCAAUUCUUCAGUCGUCUUCCCUCGCAAGGCUUCGCUGCACUCGGUUCUUCCUGUUUUUUUCCCCCCCCAAGAUGUCAUCACUCAACGUCUUCAUCAUGGCUUUUAAUGCCCCUGACAAGGACUUCAUGUUUUGAGGUUUGGUUUGUUUUCCCUUCAAUUCCAUGCAAACGGACCAAAUAGGCCCUGGAAUGAACAAUGAGGGCACUCGUUAGAGCGACACAAAGACCCUCGCUUAAAAAAAAUACAUAAUUGUAUUUCAAUUAGGUUGUUCAAGUCAAGUACAACUUUAUUGUCAAAUGUGCUGCACAUAUGAAAUUUCUUCCCUCUUAAACAGACAACAAGAGGAGCCGCUGUGGGUGCCCGCGCCGCCACAGAACAAAACAUUUAUAUUGAUGUGGAUUAGGUUUAAAGUAAGUAUUAGACCAAGGGAUUUGGUUUAGGGUUCCAGGGCCAGUGGGCUAGGGUCUGUUAAACAGCCUACCCUCUGUAGCUAACAAAUAGCGCGGUCAACGAAAACAUAACCUAAAACCAAGUCUUAUACCGACACCAAAAUAGUAUUUCAACUCAUACAAAAACUCUGUGUAUUAUACCGCAAUGUCGUUACAGUUCUAACCUGGCAGGCACCACAGUUUGGGAAUUAAAAUAUCACUAACAUCCGCUUAGCAAGUACGGCAGCAAAUAGGCCAUGUCGCCACUGCAGCCAGCUGAUGUGGGACCGUUACCCCAUCGCCACUGACCAACUUGUAACGACUACUUGAAUGGCUUCCGUGACCGGCAUGUGCGAGAAGGUAGCAGGACUCAUGACUGCCGCUCAUUAGAAAAUGGGAAGAGAUUAAAAAAAAAAAAAAAACGUGUCAACAAUACUGAUAGAAAUAUGCGUGUGCUUGCCUUUUAGGAGUGUCUCGUCCUUGUCCACCGUUUUCAUAUUGGUUACUGAUAUAAAAAAAACACUCUAACUGAUCUGACAACAGUCCCACGUCUUUUUUCGUGAGCUUGUUAAUUUCCCAAAAGAGGUUUCUUUUCUUUCUUUUUUUUUUUUUGCGACCUAUGACCUUGUGUGCUUCACUAUCUGUGGCACUAAAAAAAUCAGCAGGAAAGUUGGAUUCCUGGAAUAAAAACUCUUGAUGAUGUGUCUA